Molecule: ribosomal RNA, 565 nt
Filed under: uncultured bacterium
Lineage: Bacteria
Description: bacterial SSU rRNA
Rfam family: Bacterial small subunit ribosomal RNA
Source: RNAcentral
AACGCGAAGAACCUUACCUGGGUUUGACAUGCUUGGAUGAUUGCCGGGAAACCGGUUAAUCUGCCCCUCGGGGUGAAACUUGCACAGGUGCUGCAUGGCUGUCGUCAGCUCGUGUCGUGAGAUGUCGGGUUAAGUCCUUUAACGAGCGAAACCCUUGCCGUUAGUUGCCAGCGGGUCAUGCCGGGGACUCUAACGGGACUGCCGGUGUUAAACCGGAGGAAGGUGGGGACGACGCCAAGUCAUCAUGGCCUUUAUGCCCAGGGCCUCACACGUGCUACAAUGGCGGCAACAAAGCGACGCAAGACCGUGAGGUGGAGCAAAUCGCAAAAAUGCUGCCCCAGUUCGGAUUGCAGGCUGGCAACUCGCCUGCAUGAAGUUGGAAUCGCUAGUAAUCGCGUAUCAGCUAUGACGCGAUGAAUGUGUUCCUGAGCCUUGUACACACCGCCCGUCAAGUGAUGGGAGUUGGGAGUACCCGAAGUCGGGUUGCUAACCCCUCGGGGAAGCGCCUGCCGACGGUAAGCCCGAUGACUGGCACUAAGUCGUAACAAGGUAACCUUAAUUAAAA